CCUUGAUUAUUUGGUUCUGAUUACAUUAAUCGUCACGAUUCGUUUUGCGACUUUGCUUAUGGUGCCUUUGCUAGGAAUGAUAAAAAGGAUUCUCAAAAGAUACGAUUAAUGAUAAAAAAAAAAGAAAUUUCGCGCUCCUAAAUGUAGCGUGUCUUCGCUGCUGCUGUCAAGUCUCGUAAAAAAAACACCGCAUGCCGUUAAAGUUUUGGAAAAACCCUCAAAUUUGACCAGAAACCCCGUAAAAUAUUCUUGAAAGUACUAAAAACUAAGCGCAUCGAGGCCGACAACAUCGCAAAAGUGAAGCUAGCAGUAAAUACGUGAAAAAACUCCAGCAUCCAGCCGGACAAACGCCGAGGUCGAACCAGUUCCAGCGCCAAACAAUGUGAACCUAUGCAGAAGCAACCUACAUUCACAUCAACAGCAGCAGUAGUACUUUGGCGGAACAUCAUCGGUCGUCCAGUUCCUCAAUUAUGUUUGCGACCUCACCACCAAUCACAACAUUCCGGAGGUUGCAGGAUGGGACAAACACCACAGCAGCAGCCACCAUUCCCAUUAUCAUCACGAGAAACGAACCAGCUUAUCAGCAGCAGCAGCGGUCAGUUUAGGCUGGUACAGUUUUUUCACGGCGGAAGUGCACUAGGCCCGGAAGUGGCUCAGACGGCGGUCACAAUGAAACAUGGCUAAUGAACGGAAUCCACCCAGUAUACUGCAAAAAGAACUCCCUUGCUUGCCGGAUCUCUUAACACAAAAUUUUGCAAUAAGUGGCAUCUGCUGGUUUGUUGGUAAAAACGAUCACAAACUUCGGUAUCACCAAAAAGACGAGCAGGAAACUAGGAUUUAAUUCAAAUUGUGGUGGUCCGGAAGGGAAAUUUUUCGGUAUUGAAAGCAGAAUGGCUCGGAGUAUUUCUUUGCACCUCGGAUCACAGUACCGGAGGAGCCAAUAUUUUAAUCAGUGGAAAAUCACAAGCGGAAAAAGGAGAUCUUAACGCAGCUAGCUAAGUUCCAUGAGUGUAUUCAUUUCAUUAGAGGUACUACUUAGGAUUACUAAAGAAUCAAUAAGAUCUGUUUUCCGUCAGGGUUUUAGAAGAUCUAAAUUAGUAUAUUUUUAUAAUAAUAAUAAUAGUAAACCAUAUAUAAAUUUACCUUAAAAUUGAAAUAAUGUAGUCUAAAAGAAUUUAGAUUGAUUUACUUCCCGAAUAGAAAAACAUUGUGAAAAGAUCAUGAAUUUCAUUUUCACGCAACCGUGAAUUAUAUAAUUGAAACUAUGCGAAUCAUGGUACAUGAAACCUUGAAUGUACUGUGAAAUUCAUAUUUUUCGACAGUGAAAUUUAUGGUUUUAGCAAAAUUUACCAUGAAAAAAGGGGGUUGUUAAGCAACUUAACAAUGAAAAAAUCAACUUUUUUCCAUACAUUUCAAAUUGCAAAAAUAUGAAGUGAAUGGUUAUUUCAGCUUCCAAUUUUCCUCAAGGAAACUGUAAAAUUCAUCGUUUUAUGUUGAAUUUACAUCGUUCUGACGAUGAUGAACAUCAAUGUUUAUUCACAGUUUUUAGAAUCCCUCGUGACCGUGAAAUUUCAUGGUGAAAUAGUUUUUUUUUAUUUUCUUUCCAAAACUAUUAUAAUAAAUAAACUAUUUUUCUGGCUAUUAUCUAACUAUUUAUUAAUAAGGCUUUGAUUUUUUUUAAACAUACUGUGAUACACUCACUGUGUCACUUUCAACCAUCGGCACUUUGUUCCGACGCCUCGGUGAGCCUCCUCCUCCUCAUUCUCCCGAGACGGCUCCAGCAUAUCUUCCAGCAGCAGGUCCCAAAUGUGUGUAUGUGGUCCAAUUGAGCCAUUUUAUACGGCCUACGUUUGAAGCCUGAGCGACCGAUGUCAGCUAUUUGCGUCUGCUUCUGAAAAAUUAAAAAAAAAAACAAUUUCCGAUAAGUUUUUUACUCUAAUAUGUACACUAAAAGUACUCACCAGAGAAAUCGACUCCAUCCGAACGUCCUAUUCUCGCACGCUGUACCGACUUUUUGCUCCUAAAAAAAAUAAAAAUAGUAACUAAAAAAGGCGAAAUGAGUUUUAGAAAGAUCUCACCGUAAGAAUUUUUGUUUCCUAUAAAAUUGUCGACCACUGUCCGGAUAAUGGCGCGUAAACA
Uranotaenia lowii is the source of this 2139-nucleotide long non-coding RNA. RefSeq lists it as uncharacterized. NCBI's taxonomy places the organism in Eukaryota, Metazoa, Arthropoda, Insecta, Diptera, Culicidae. The record is from RefSeq and is a predicted model, not a curated record. The transcript has 3 exons.